ACAAGGUUUCCGUAGGUGAACCUGCGGAAGGAUCAUUGUCGUGACCCUGACCAAAACAAACCGCGCACGCGUUAUCCAAUCCGUCGACGAUGGGCAUCGUCCAUUGCUCGGCCAUCCUCGGUCACCUACACUUCUCGGAGUGGGGUGCUCGGGGUAAAAGAACCCACGGCGCCGAAGGCGUCAAGGAACACUGUGUCUAACCCGAGGGCAUGGCUAGCUUGCUGGUCAUCUCUUGGGUUGCAAUCGUAUUUAAUCCACACGACUCUCGGCAACGGAUAUCUCGGCUCUCGCAUCGAUGAAGAACGUAGCGAAAUGCGAUACCUGGUGUGAAUUGCAGAAUCCCGCGAACCAUCGAGUCUUUGAACGCAAGUUGCGCCCGAGGCCACUCGGUCGAGGGCACGCCUGCCUGGGCGUCACGCCAAAACACGCUUCCAACCCUCUCAUCGGGGAUCGGGAUGCGGCAUAUGGCCCCUCGUCUCGCAAGGGACGGUGAGCCGAAGAUCGGGCUGCCGACGUAUCGUGUCGGACACAGCGCAUGGUGGGCGUCUUUGCUUUAUCUGCGCAGUGCAUUCGAUGCGUAGCCGCAUGAUGGCCUAAAAAAGACCCAACUAACGGAGCGCGUGUCGCUUCGAUCGCGACCCCAGGUCAGGCGGGACUACCCGCUGAGUU
This 669-nucleotide ribosomal RNA is filed under the name Bromus tectorum (cheatgrass). Its description in RNAcentral is "eukaryotic LSU rRNA". The stretch from base 261 to 416 matches the Rfam family "5.8S ribosomal RNA". Lineage: Eukaryota; Viridiplantae; Streptophyta; Magnoliopsida; Poales; Poaceae. The record is from RNAcentral.